This 641-nucleotide ribosomal RNA is filed under the name Escherichia coli. RNAcentral describes it as "partial 23S ribosomal RNA". It matches the Rfam family "Bacterial large subunit ribosomal RNA", at positions 2180 to 2820 of the family's 2925-position model. Lineage: Bacteria; Pseudomonadati; Pseudomonadota; Gammaproteobacteria; Enterobacterales; Enterobacteriaceae. The record is from RNAcentral.
AUGGAGCCGACCUUGAAAUACCACCCUUUAAUGUUUGAUGUUCUAACGUUGACCCGUAAUCCGGGUUGCGGACAGUGUCUGGUGGGUAGUUUGACUGGGGCGGUCUCCUCCUAAAGAGUAACGGAGGAGCACGAAGGUUGGCUAAUCCUGGUCGGACAUCAGGAGGUUAGUGCAAUGGCAUAAGCCAGCUUGACUGCGAGCGUGACGGCGCGAGCAGGUGCGAAAGCAGGUCAUAGUGAUCCGGUGGUUCUGAAUGGAAGGGCCAUCGCUCAACGGAUAAAAGGUACUCCGGGGAUAACAGGCUGAUACCGCCCAAGAGUUCAUAUCGACGGCGGUGUUUGGCACCUCGAUGUCGGCUCAUCACAUCCUGGGGCUGAAGUAGGUCCCAAGGGUAUGGCUGUUCGCCAUUUAAAGUGGUACGCGAGCUGGGUUUAGAACGUCGUGAGACAGUUCGGUCCCUAUCUGCCGUGGGCGCUGGAGAACUGAGGGGGGCUGCUCCUAGUACGAGAGGACCGGAGUGGACGCAUCACUGGUGUUCGGGUUGUCAUGCCAAUGGCACUGCCCGGUAGCUAAAUGCGGAAGAGAUAAGUGCUGAAAGCAUCUAAGCACGAAACUUGCCCCGAGAUGAGUUCUCCCUGACU